UUAAAUUGAAGAGUUUGAUCAUGGCUCAGAUUGAACGCUGGCGGCAGGCCUAACACAUGCAAGUCGAGCGGAAACGAGUUAUCUGAACCUUCGGGGAACGGUAACGGCGUCGAGCGGC
RNAcentral lists this ribosomal RNA (118 nucleotides) under Vibrio parahaemolyticus. RNAcentral's name for it is "partial 16S ribosomal RNA". It matches the Rfam family "Bacterial small subunit ribosomal RNA", at positions 1 to 99 of the family's 1533-position model. The record is from RNAcentral. Lineage: Bacteria; Pseudomonadati; Pseudomonadota; Gammaproteobacteria; Vibrionales; Vibrionaceae.